UGGGCUGUGGCUCAGUGGUAGAGCGCUCGCCUAGCAUGGGUAAAGGCACUGGGUUCGAACCUCAGCACCCCAU
This is a non-coding RNA of Ictidomys tridecemlineatus (thirteen-lined ground squirrel), 73 nucleotides long. The record is from Rfam. NCBI's taxonomy places the organism in Eukaryota, Metazoa, Chordata, Mammalia, Rodentia, Sciuridae.